CAAUUUAAACAACGAAGAGUUUGAUCCUGGCUCAGGAUGAACGCUAGCGACAGGCUUAACACAUGCAAGUCGAGGGGCAGCACAGGUAGCAAUACCGGGUGGCGACCGGCGCACGGGUGAGUAACGCGUAUGCAACUUGCCUAUCAGAGGGGGAUAACCCGGCGAAAGUCGGACUAAUACCGCAUGAAGCAGGGAUCCCGCAUGGGAAUAUUUGCUAAAGAUUCAUCGCUGAUAGAUAGGCAUGCGUUCCAUUAGGCAGUUGGCGGGGUAACGGCCCACCAAACCGACGAUGGAUAGGGGUUCUGAGAGGAAGGUCCCCCACAUUGGUACUGAGACACGGACCAAACUCCUACGGGAGGCAGCAGUGAGGAAUAUUGGUCAAUGGCCGAGAGGCUGAACCAGCCAAGUCGCGUGAGGGAUGAAGGUUCUAUGGAUCGUAAACCUCUUUUAUAAGGGAAUAAAGUGCGGGACGUGUCCCGUUUUGUAUGUACCUUAUGAAUAAGGAUCGGCUAACUCCGUGCCAGCAGCCGCGGUAAUACGGAGGAUCCGAGCGUUAUCCGGAUUUAUUGGGUUUAAAGGGUGCGUAGGCGGCCUUUUAAGUCAGCGGUGAAAGUCUGUGGCUCAACCAUAGAAUUGCCGUUGAAACUGGGGGGCUUGAGUAUGUUUGAGGCAGGCGGAAUGCGUGGUGUAGCGGUGAAAUGCAUAGAUAUCACGCAGAACCCCGAUUGCGAAGGCAGCCUGCCAAGCCAUUACUGACGCUGAUGCACGAAAGCGUGGGGAUCAAACAGGAUUAGAUACCCUGGUAGUCCACGCAGUAAACGAUGAUCACUAGCUGUUUGCGAUACACUGUAAGCGGCACAGCGAAAGCGUUAAGUGAUCCACCUGGGGAGUACGCCGGCAACGGUGAAACUCAAAGGAAUUGACGGGGGCCCGCACAAGCGGAGGAACAUGUGGUUUAAUUCGAUGAUACGCGAGGAACCUUACCCGGGUUUGAACGCAUUCGGACCGAGGUGGAAACACCUUUUCUAGCAAUAGCCGUUUGCGAGGUGCUGCAUGGUUGUCGUCAGCUCGUGCCGUGAGGUGUCGGCUUAAGUGCCAUAACGAGCGCAACCCUUGCCACUAGUUACUAACAGGUUAGGCUGAGGACUCUGGUGGGACUGCCAGCGUAAGCUGCGAGGAAGGCGGGGAUGACGUCAAAUCAGCACGGCCCUUACAUCCGGGGCGACACACGUGUUACAAUGGCGUGGACAAAGGGAGGCCACCUGGCGACAGGGAGCGAAUCCCCAAACCACGUCUCAGUUCGGAUCGGAGUCUGCAACCCGACUCCGUGAAGCUGGAUUCGCUAGUAAUCGCGCAUCAGCCAUGGCGCGGUGAAUACGUUCCCGGGCCUUGUACACACCGCCCGUCAAGCCAUGGGAGCCGGGGGUACCUGAAGUCCGUAACCGAAAGGAUCGGCCUAGGGUAAAACUGGUGACUGGGGCUAAGUCGUAACAAG
RNAcentral lists this ribosomal RNA (1495 nucleotides) under Parabacteroides distasonis ATCC 8503. Its description in RNAcentral is "bacterial SSU rRNA". It matches the Rfam family "Bacterial small subunit ribosomal RNA". Lineage: Bacteria; Pseudomonadati; Bacteroidota; Bacteroidia; Bacteroidales; Tannerellaceae. The record is from RNAcentral.